Falco peregrinus (peregrine falcon) is the source of this 604-nucleotide long non-coding RNA. RefSeq lists it as uncharacterized. Lineage: Eukaryota; Metazoa; Chordata; Aves; Falconiformes; Falconidae. The transcript is spliced from 3 exons. The record is from RefSeq and is a predicted model, not a curated record.
CCCCCUACUUGCUCAUGGGGUGGUGUGAGAAGCAGAAAAGGCCUUGACUCUGUACAUGAAUACAUAAUGGACCUUAGUGGCUGGAUUUUGCUGACACUCACUUGGGAUUACCUGUAUAAUUCACAGCUUCAUUACUCCUAAACAACAUGGCCAAUGAAAUUAUCACACAGUAGAGAAAUAUGGCAUGAAAACAAGCAAGGAGUCUACAAUUCCUCCUGAAGGACAGUUCGUGGUGAUAACUAGCUAAAACCAACUCUAUAGUUUGGACAAAGACCAAGGAACAACUGAGUCUGCGCGAAGAGGGAAGGUAAAAAGUUCAGAGCAAGGGAGACUACCAAGCCUUCAUCCCCAUGACCCCCACCAAGAGGCACCACGCAAGAGCAGUUGGGAAUGACUUAUGGAAAUGACUUCUUGGAACUAAUUUUAAUAUGAAGCGGGUAUAGGUUGUGAAUAUGUAUAGGCGUAUUUGGAAAUCUUAUGUAUAUGCAACAUUUGAUUGUAUAAAUUGAGGCAAGUUGUUGCCCCUGGCGCGCAAGGCUUUGGUGGGACUACCCCACCCACCCCUACUCCCACCCUGUGCUGCCCACGGCUAAAUAAACAUACC